ACGUAGGGUGCAAGCGUUGUCCGGAAUUACUGGGUGUAAAGGGAGUGCAGGCGGACCGGCAAGUUGGAAGUGAAAACUAUGGGCUCAACCCAUAAAUUGCUUUCAAAACUGCUGGCCUUGAGUAGUGCAGAGGUAGGUGGAAUUCCCGGUGUAGCGGUGGAAUGCGUAGAUAUCGGGAGGAACACCAGUGGCGAAGGCGACCUACUGGGCACCAACUGACGCUGAGGCUCGAAAGCAUGGGUAGCAAACAG
Molecule: ribosomal RNA, 251 nt
Filed under: uncultured bacterium
Lineage: Bacteria
Description: partial 16S ribosomal RNA
Rfam family: Bacterial small subunit ribosomal RNA
Source: RNAcentral